UGGAAACCUGCUACAAGAGCUGGGAGGAAGCUGAAGUUUCUGCAGUGGAAUACAACUGCGAAUGGCAGGAAAACAAGCUGCAAAGCUCCCAGCAACUCAACUCUCAAACGUGGUCACUCAGAAUGAAGGCUGCAGGUCUGGAAAAGCACUUCCAGUGUCCAUGCCAUCCCAGAGCAAUGAGCUCUAACCGGCUAUAAGCCAUCCUCCAGUGGGGAAUCUCUCGCGCCGUUUCCAAAGAGGACAGGAGGACAGUGAAAUAAACACAUUUGCCAAUGA
Long non-coding RNA from Pogoniulus pusillus (Red-fronted tinkerbird), 276 nucleotides. RefSeq lists it as uncharacterized. The transcript is spliced from 2 exons. Lineage: Eukaryota; Metazoa; Chordata; Aves; Piciformes; Lybiidae. The record is from RefSeq and is a predicted model, not a curated record.